UUCCGGUUGAUCCUGCCGGACCUGACUGCUAUCGGAUUGAUACUAAGCCAUGCGAGUCAUUGUAGCAAUACAAGGCAGACGGCUCAGUAACGCGUAGUCAACCUAACCUAUGGAUGGGAAUAACCUCGGGAAACUGAGAAUAAUGCCCAAUAGAACACUAUACCUGGAAUGGUUUGUGUUCCAAAUGAUUUAUCGCCGUAGGAUGGGACUGCGGCCUAUCAGUUUGUUGGUGAGGUAAUGGCCCACCAAGACUAUUACAGGUACGGGCUCUGAGAGGAGUAGCCCGGAGAUGGGUACUGAGACACGGACCCAGGCCCUAUGGGGCGCAGCAGGCGAGAAAACUUUGCAAUGUGCGAAAGCACGACAAGGUUAAUCCGAGUGGUUUCUGCUAAAGGAACCUUUUGUUAGUCGUAGAACCACUGACGAAUAAGGGGUGGGCAAGUUCUGGUGUCAGCCGCCGCGGUAAAACCAGCACCUCAAGUGGUCAGGAUGAUUAUUGGGCCUAAAGCAUCCGUAGCCGGCUCUGUAAGUUUUCGGUUAAAUCUGUACGCUCAACGUACAGGCUGCCGGGAAUACUGCAGAGCUAGGGAGUGGGAGAGGUAGACGGUACUCGAUAGGAAGGGGUAAAAUCCUUUGAUCUAUUGAUGACCACCUGUGGCGAAGGCGGUCUACCAGAACACGUCCGACGGUGAGGGAUGAAAGCUGGGGGAGCAAACCGGAUUAGAUACCCGGGUAGUCCCGGCUGUAAACUAUGCAAACUCAGUGAUGCAUUGGCUUGUGGCCAAUGCAGUGCUGCAGGAAGCCGUUAAGUUUGCCGCCUGGGAAGUACGUACGCAAGUAUGAAACUUAAAGGAAUUGGCGGGGGAGCACCACAGGGGGUGAAGCCUGCGGUUCAAUUGGAGUCAACGCCGGAA
RNAcentral lists this ribosomal RNA (914 nucleotides) under uncultured archaeon. RNAcentral describes it as "bacterial SSU rRNA". It matches the Rfam family "Archaeal small subunit ribosomal RNA", at positions 1 to 923 of the family's 1478-position model. The record is from RNAcentral.